UACGUAGGUGGCAAGCGUUGUCCGGAUUUACUGGGCGUAAAGGGCGCGUAGGCGGCUUAACAAGUCACUUGUGAAAUCUCCGGGCUUAACUCGGAACGGCCAAGUGAAACUGUCAAGCUAGAGUGCAGAAGGGGCAAUCGGAAUUCUUGGUGUAGCGGUGAAAUGCGCAGAUAUCAGGAGGAACACCAAUGGCGAAGGCAGCUCGCUGGGACGUGACUGACGCUGAGACGCGAAAGCGUGGGGAGCAAACAGG
This 253-nucleotide ribosomal RNA is filed under the name uncultured bacterium. Its description in RNAcentral is "partial 16S ribosomal RNA". It matches the Rfam family "Bacterial small subunit ribosomal RNA", at positions 524 to 776 of the family's 1533-position model. The record is from RNAcentral.